GAUGAACGCUAGCGGCAGGCCUAACACAUGCAAGUCGAGGGGUAGAACACUUCGGUGUUUGAGACCGGCGCACGGGUGCGUAACGCGUAUGCAAUCUACCUUAUACAGGGGAAUAGCCCAGAGAAAUUUGGAUUAAUGCCCCAUAGUGUUAUAGAAUCGCAUGGUUUUAUAACUAAAGUUCCAACGGUAUAAGAUGAGCAUGCGUCCCAUUAGUUAGUUGGUAAGGUAACGGCUUACCAAGACAAUGAUGGGUAGGGGUCCUGAGAGGGAGAUCCCCCACACUGGUACUGAGACACGGACCAGACUCCUACGGGAGGCAGCAGUGAGGAAUAUUGGUCAAUGGGCGCAAGCCUGAACCAGCCAUGCCGCGUGCAGGAAGAAGCAUCUAUGGUGUGUAAACUGCUUUUAUACAGGAAGAAACACCUCCACGUGUGGAGGCUUGACGGUACUGUAGGAAUAAGGAUCGGCUAACUCCGUGCCAGCAGCCGCGGUAAAG
Molecule: ribosomal RNA, 496 nt
Filed under: uncultured bacterium
Lineage: Bacteria
Description: bacterial SSU rRNA
Rfam family: Bacterial small subunit ribosomal RNA
Source: RNAcentral